Small nuclear RNA from Suncus etruscus (white-toothed pygmy shrew), 163 nucleotides. RefSeq annotates it as U1 spliceosomal RNA. NCBI's taxonomy places the organism in Eukaryota, Metazoa, Chordata, Mammalia, Eulipotyphla, Soricidae. The transcript has a single exon. The record is from RefSeq and is a predicted model, not a curated record.
AUACUUACCUGGCAAGGGCGAUACCAUGAUCAUAAAGAUGGUUUUCCCAGGGGUAGAGUUAUCCCUUUCUCUUGGGAUGUGCUAAUCCCUGUGAUUUCUCCAAAUGUGGGAAACCAAACUGCAUAAUUUGUGGUAAUGGGGACUGAGUAUGCACUCUCCCCUG